GGUAAAGAUGGGAAUAUACAUAUAAGGCAUAAAUGAUCCACUCCCUUGGGCGAUGUGGGAUGUUACACAUUUAAUCAUUAUUAAUUCUGCUAAUCAAGACCUUGAUAAUGAUUAAAAUUAAAUGCAUGCUGCAAUUGGGUAUUAGCGCCUUUUAUCUUAGUCGUUUUAACUAAACCUUUGCACUAACCCAUGAUUUCCAACGUUAACUACGUGCCCAUUAUAUAACUUCCACUUUACUUUUUUUG
This 245-nucleotide long non-coding RNA is filed under the name Malus domestica (apple). RNAcentral describes it as "long non-coding RNA (MDOM_LNC016273)". The record is from RNAcentral. Lineage: Eukaryota; Viridiplantae; Streptophyta; Magnoliopsida; Rosales; Rosaceae.